CCUACGGGUGGCAGCAGUGGGGAAUAUUGGGCAAUGGAGGAAACUCUGACCCAGCAACGCCGCGUGAAUGAUGAAGGUCUUCGGAUUGUAAAGUUCUUUUCUAAGGGAAGAAGAAAGUGACGGUACCUUAGGAAUAAGCCUCGGCUAACUACGUGCCAGCAGCCGCGGUAAUACGUAGGAGGCAAGCGUUAUCCGGAAUGACUGGGCGUAAAGGGUGCGUAGGUGGUUUAGUAAGGUGGCGGUGUAAUUCCGGGGCUCAACCUCGGCGCUACCGCCAAAACUAUUAGACUAGAGUGCGGGAGGGGUAAGUGGAAUUCCUAGUGUAGCGGUGGAAUGCGUAGAUAUUAGGCGGAACAUCAGGGGCGAAGGCGACUUACUGGACUGUAACUGACACUGAGGCACGAAAGCGUGGGGAGCAAACAGGAUUAGAUACCCUUGUAGUC
Molecule: ribosomal RNA, 443 nt
Filed under: uncultured bacterium
Lineage: Bacteria
Description: partial 16S ribosomal RNA
Rfam family: Bacterial small subunit ribosomal RNA
Source: RNAcentral